GUUUUAGUAUAAGUAUGUCCCAUGCAACAUUUAAGACAUACUUAUGCUAAAA
This 52-nucleotide microRNA precursor is filed under the name Chlorocebus sabaeus (green monkey). RNAcentral describes it as "mir-1302 microRNA precursor family". It matches the Rfam family "mir-1302 microRNA precursor family". The record is from Rfam by way of RNAcentral. Lineage: Eukaryota; Metazoa; Chordata; Mammalia; Primates; Cercopithecidae.